GACGAACGCUGGCGGCGUGCUUAACACAUGCAAGUCGAACGGAAAGGCCCCUUUGGGGGUACUCGAGUGGCGAACGGGUGAGUAACACGUGAGUAACCUGCCCUUGACUUCGGGAUAACUUCAGGAAACUGGGGCUAAUACCGGAUAGGAAUCCUUGCUGCAUGGUGGGGGUUGGAAAGCUUCGGCGGUUUUGGAUGGACUCGCGGCUUAUCAGCUUGUUGGUGGGGUAGUGGCUUACCAAGGCUUUGACGGGUAGCCGGCCUGAGAGGGCGACCGGCCACAUUGGGACUGAGAUACGGCCCAGACUCCUACGGGAGGCGGCAGUGGGGAAUAUUGCACAAUGGGCGGAAGCCUGAUGCAGCAACGCCGCGUGCGGGAUGACGGCCUUCGGGUUGUAAACCGCUUUCAGCAGGGGCGAAGCUUGUGGUGACGGUACCUGCAGAAGAAGCAUCGGCUAACUACGUG
RNAcentral lists this ribosomal RNA (465 nucleotides) under uncultured bacterium. RNAcentral's name for it is "partial 16S ribosomal RNA". It matches the Rfam family "Bacterial small subunit ribosomal RNA", at positions 28 to 507 of the family's 1533-position model. The record is from RNAcentral.